CAGCUGGUUGGUGGGGUAAAGGCUCACCAAGGCGUCGAUCGGUAGCUGGUCUGAGAGGACGAGCAGCCACACUGGGAUUGAGAACGGCCCAGACUCCUACGGGGGGCAGCAGUGAGGAAUUUUCGGCAAUGGAGGCAACUCUGACCGAGCAACGCCGCGUGCAGGAAGACGCGUUUCGGCGUGUAAACUGCUUUUCUGCGGGACGAGCAAGGACGGUACCGCAGGAAGAAGCCCCGGCUAACUACGUGCCAGCAGCCGCGGUAAUACGUAGGGGGCGAGCGUUGUCCGGAGUUACUGGGCGUAAAGGGCAUGUAGGCGGUCGAUUUUGUCGGGGCGGACAGGGGAGGGCUCCACCCUCUCAGCAGCCACGAAACGGGUCGCCUGGAGCCUCAGAGAGGGACACGGAAUUCCGGGUGGAGCGGUGAAAUGCGUAGAGAUCCGGAGGAACACCGCAGGCGCAGGCAGUGUCCUGGCUGAGAGCUGACGCUGAGGUGCGAAAGCGAGGGGAGCGAACGGGAUUAA
This 522-nucleotide ribosomal RNA is filed under the name uncultured bacterium. RNAcentral's name for it is "SSU rRNA". It matches the Rfam family "Bacterial small subunit ribosomal RNA", at positions 242 to 781 of the family's 1533-position model. The record is from RNAcentral.